UCCUGUGUGGAUCACCAUUGGAGAGCUUCUACUUUGGAGUCUUGUAGAGGUCUCAAAGUUACCAGAUCAUGGUUUUCUUAUUGGUAUAUAACUUCUGAUUUCUUUCUGAUAUAUAUAUUUUUUGAUCGUUUGAUUGUAAUCAUCAUGGGGUUUCUAUGACUUUUGUGUUCCGGAGACUAGUUUAAAUAUUAAACUUUGUUUUCAAUUGUUGAAUCCAUGUUAAAAUUUUUAAAAUUUAUAUUUCACUGUAUCACUAAAACCCAACAGAGUCCUAGUCCAGUAGGACUCUCUUCCAAAGUUCCAGUCCCAAUAGGACUCCUCACUAGAGUCACAAUCCAAUUGGACUCUUCAACCAUUAGAUCUAACCAAAUCUUCUAAUGCAUGUGACCCCAUAGG
RNAcentral lists this long non-coding RNA (396 nucleotides) under Elaeis guineensis (African oil palm). RNAcentral's name for it is "long non-coding RNA (EGUI_LNC060465)". The record is from RNAcentral. Lineage: Eukaryota; Viridiplantae; Streptophyta; Magnoliopsida; Arecales; Arecaceae.